UUUCCAGAGAUGGAUUGGUGCCUUCGGGAACUCUGACACAGGUGGCUGCAUGGCUGUCGGUCAGCUCGUGUCGUGAGAUGUUGGGUUAAGUCCGUAACGAGCGCAACCCUUGUCCUUAGUUACCAGCACGUUAUGGUGGGCACUCUAAGGAGACUGCCGGUGACAAACCGGAGGAAGGUGGGGAUGACGUCAAGUCAUCAUGGCCCUUACGGCCUGGGCUACACACGUGCUACAAUGGUCGGUACAAAGGGUUGCCAAGCCGCGAGGUGGAGCUAAUCCCAUAAAACCGAUCGUAGUCCGGAUCGCAGUCUGCAACUCGACUGCGUGAAGUCGGAAUCGCUAGUAAUCGUGAAUCAGAAUGUCACGGUGAAUACGUUCCCGGGCCUU
This 387-nucleotide ribosomal RNA is filed under the name uncultured Pseudomonas sp. Its description in RNAcentral is "bacterial SSU rRNA". It matches the Rfam family "Bacterial small subunit ribosomal RNA", at positions 997 to 1382 of the family's 1533-position model. Lineage: Bacteria; Pseudomonadati; Pseudomonadota; Gammaproteobacteria; Pseudomonadales; Pseudomonadaceae. The record is from RNAcentral.